Myotis lucifugus (little brown bat) is the source of this 77-nucleotide non-coding RNA. The record is from Rfam. NCBI's taxonomy places the organism in Eukaryota, Metazoa, Chordata, Mammalia, Chiroptera, Vespertilionidae.
GAGACACCCUUCUGGGGCAAGACUUGCUUCAGUGGGGCUUUGGUUGCUCACUGAGUCUGCCCCCUGAGUGUGUCCCU